CGGAGUAUAGCUCAGCCUGGUAGAGCGCUACGUUCGGGACGUAGAGGCCGUGGGUUCGAAUCCCGCUACUCCGACCA
This 77-nucleotide transfer RNA is filed under the name Rickettsiales bacterium. RNAcentral's name for it is "tRNA-Pro". It matches the Rfam family "tRNA". Rfam says of the family: Transfer RNA (tRNA) molecules are approximately 80 nucleotides in length. Their secondary structure includes four short double-helical elements and three loops (D, anti-codon, and T loops). Lineage: Bacteria; Pseudomonadati; Pseudomonadota; Alphaproteobacteria; Rickettsiales. The record is from RNAcentral.